Molecule: long non-coding RNA, 4085 nt
Filed under: Anas zonorhyncha (Eastern spot-billed duck)
Lineage: Eukaryota; Metazoa; Chordata; Aves; Anseriformes; Anatidae
Description: lncRNA (ENSAZOG00000003043.1)
Source: RNAcentral
AGUCACAAGGCUUCGGCUCCACCUAUGUCAUUGGCUUCUGAUGGAAAGGAUGGCAGACUGAACCAUAUUUGCUUUCCAAAACCAAGCUUGAAAUUCCCGUUGAACUUGGACUCCCUGGUUUUAAUUCAUAUCUGGAUAGACUGACUUAUGUAUUUUCUUCAUUCCUCUCCCCAGAUAUAUGAUUCUCUUUUUUUUUUUUUUCUGCAAGGAUGGUCUAUUUGUAAGGGUUCCUUAUGUUCUGCCUAAGUUUUCCCUUUGCUUCCAGUCAUUUUAGAACGCUCCUGUUUCUACCUGUUGCUCCCAUUAUGAUGUUUGUACUCUUGCAUACAACUGAAAAGCAUCUUCUGUCAUUCUUACCUUUGGAGUUGUUGUUUGUCCAGAACAACGAAGAAGUAGAUAUUCCAAAACAUUUGCGAGGACAUCAGGGAUCCUCUAUAGGCUGUGAUCUGCUUCUUCUGGAAGAAGCUUCAAGAGACUUCUUCACUGGUACAAGACUAAUUAUUUUGGGACUGGGGGCAAUUCCACAUCUAAUCAGCCUCACUCCGCUUGUACUGUAGGAAAAAGGUUAUUUUUAUUUCAUGGUCCAACAAAUUGAGGCUGUGGGAGGAGCUACUGAAGAUCACUGCAGGCAAUGUGCGACCUAGGAUAGGAACUCAGUACUUUCAGCUUUUAUAUACAACCUGCUGAAUAAUGUUUUCUCUUGCUAAUGAGAAAAUCUGUCUAGGCCAGAAAGGGUAGGAGCAUUUCAUUCCAGAGAGGAAUAUCUGGAUGCUCUGACUUUUGCCUCCUGGAAUAUGUUUUACUACUGACCAACUUUACUGUGUUAUUAAUUUUAGUCAUCUGUCCACAGAAUAAUCAAGAACUGCCUUAGGAAAAUAUUAAGCUGAGCCGUAUACCAGUAAGAGCAAACAAAUUCACUUGGACAGCUGCAAAAAUGAAUUUAACUUACUCUUGCUGUGCCUAGGCAUAGUGUGAUUUCAGAGUUUCCUUUUGAUAUGUCACGAAGUCUCAUCACGUCUCAAAUAAGGUUACUGGAAGAGCAAAAGCAGGACUUUUGAUAUACUACAAACAAGGGACUCCAUGAAUCUUACAUACACAUGUAAAUCUACCUAUGAGCAUUGCUAGAAAAAUGACCAGGUGUUGUAAACCUCUGAAUUCAAUCUGUGCAAAGAUCUCCGUGUCUAUAAUGUGUAAAGGCCAACAAGCACUGUUCUCCAGAGAUCGAAGCAGAUGUGUGUAGAUCUCCUCCCAGCUCUGUGUUUUGAUCAAAUGUCAGGAGUCUGUAAAGCACAGGUGCUACCUCCAUUUUUCCAUACGUGCAGCAAGAUGCAGCCAAUUCAUUGAGGCAGGGAUACAGUUAAUUUUCAUGGUAGCUGAUAUGGUGCUGUGUUUUGGAUUUAGGAUGAAAAUAAUGUUGAUCCAGAUGGCAUUAAGAACAUUAAAACAACCACCAGGUGGAUCAGGCUGCUAGAACUGGAGUGCUUAUACAUUUCUAGAUUUGGAAUGGAUGACCAGAUCAUUGUCCUAUUGUACCCGUACAGACUAUCAGAAGUAACCUACUUGUUCUUUUAAUUGGACUAAAAUUUUCAAAGUGUAUGAAAAAUUGCUUAUCCCACUGAAAACAGACUUAUAUGCUGAGAGCUCGCAGCCCACUCUUCAAUUAUUGCAUGAAUAUGUUUAUUGUGUAUUGUUAUGUCCUGUAUGGAAAGUGUGUCCAUGGGAACAUGUGGUGUGUUAAACACUGUGCCUGCCCCCACUACCUGCUUCAUGAGCAGCCUAAAUGUGGAAGUACACUCUCAUGGCUGAGCUGUGCAGUUUAUUUUCUGUUCUGCCACAGCAUGGGCUAAGCAGGAAAAUUUGCAUCUGGUUGAGGUGGCCCAGAGUAAAACCUGACCAAGAGACUUCAGUUCUGAGUUUCAGUUGUGCGUUGCAGGGAAACUCAUUUGUUUGUCUUAACCUUUGAAAAGUGAGUGUGACUGAAUUUGGGUUGAAAAAUCCCAUUGGGUUGAGGAAUAAAUGGUUUUAUAACAGGAAAUGUUGAAAUAGAAAGUUGAAAUUUUCUUCACGUUCUUUUAUUUUUUUCCCUUUCUGCCAGUCACAAAUGACUGUCCCAAAUUCAUUCAAACUUCAACAAUAGCCUAGGUUAUGCCAUGGCAUUGCAUUUUUCUGCAAAUAAGCUCAUCCCAAAUUUGUGGCUUGGUUGUAGAGGUAAGGUUUACUGUGCCCUACAGCAUACCACAGAUUGGAGGGAGGCUGUGGAGAACCUAUAGCAGCAGCAGGGUCAAUAACUGUGUGGCACUGAAACCCUGCAGGCAAAGGAAGAAGCAAGGUCAAACCCUGCUAGCAGUGGGAUAAAACUGCUCGGAAACCCUCAGCUAUGGAUUGCCUUGUUCCCCAGCUGUUUGUAAUGCAAGCUGGAUUUCUAAUUAAUUAGGACAAAGUCAAUGAAUUAGUUGGACUUAGAUCUGUGAAUGAUGAAUACUGACCUAAACUUCCAGAUGUCUGUGCAACAGCUCUCCUUUCUGCAGGUGAUUCUUGCAUUCUCCCGAUUCCAAAGCUUUGCAGAGUUUCAGGUCAUGUUUAUCCUGACAGAGCCCAUGUUGUGAGCAUGGCUAGUCUUUGCUGUGGUUAAUUCCUUCUAGUGCAGCAAAAAUGCAUUGAAUAUUUGAAGUUUCCUUACUUUUGAGAGCAUUUUGCUAGCUCUGAAGAAGAGCUUCUCUGGCUGAGCAGCUGUGUGUGUUCGCCAGCAGGGCAAUAUGCUCACUGAAGAUCCUGAGAUUGACUGACCCAGCAUCUCUCUUCCUCAGGAGGAUCUCAGUGAAAAGACUCUUCAGUGUUGGACAAGCUUUGACUAAGUCUGAAUUUGCUGUAAUGCAUGCAAAAUGAGUCUAAAUUUCCUUUUCAUCACACACACAAUCAUGCCAUCACUUUGGACUUUGUUGUAGCCAUCAUUUCACACAUUGGCAUAACCUAGAAUGUGCUGGAGCAAAGCUGCGCUGGUAACAAAUUGUUUUCCUUCCAGGAUCUUUCAGAAAUGGUUCCUUUUUCUUGCCUCUCUUGGUUAAUUAAAGGGACAUACUGGAUUUCGUAGACUUAGAAAAUGAGUUGCCAUUCAUGCCAUAAUGCCACAGAUUUUUAUUACCCUUGCAGAUUUUAGAAGUACUUUUUUUUAGGGGGGGAGUGGGGGGGGGUUGCAAAGUUAUAGCAAGACUUUUAUAAAUCAGAAGAGGUAGAACAUGUUAUGUAGAAUGACAUCUGAUGGUUUAAUUGAUAUUGAAGCCUGUGGUUAACCUCUUUUCUAGGCCAAAUUGGUCACAAUUAAUGUUACAUGCUCAGCAAAGCCCCUGGGAGACAAAGUAGAAACUGCUAUCUCUUUCUGCACAAAGCUGGUACAGAGCAGCCUCACACUGUGCCUUUCUCACAGUUCCCUUUCACAGUGGAAUUCCUUCUAAAAGGAAGAAAGAUAGUUCAUUCCCAGUGGAUUUGGUACUGUGAACAGAUUUUAUUCAUGAUGAUCUGGACAAAUGAGGCCUUGAACUGUGUGAAAACCACCAUUUCACACAUUGCUCAAUUUAUCACAACUGUUGGACCGUAAAGAAAAUAUUAUAUCAUGUCCCACAUUGAUGUGUGGCCAUGGGGGAAGUUCUUUGAUAUGUCAGAUUUGCCAUCCAGUGCUGGUGUUGGGAAAAAAGCCAGCAUUGCUUCAGUUCUGAUGUCACUUGUACACAGAAAAAUGUGUGUUGAGUUAUGGAAAAAAAAUAAAAAUGGUGUAAGUACUUUACUGGCCUCGUACUGCUCCCCAAAGAGCAACAAAAUGCACCGAAAUACAGCAUUUCAGGACAGCAGUUCAUAACCAAAGGCAAAAACUAUCAAAUAAUUUACCAAGAACACUUCUUUUCAAAGUGCACUCAGCUCCUUUAUGACAACAGGGUGCAGCUUUGGCAAUGACCUCUAGAAAGUAUAUAAUGCAUGGGCACUUCAAAAGCAGCACCAUACAGAGGGUACUGUGGUGGAACACAGACAUUUGGGAAAUGCUCCCAUCACUACACAUGGUGAUAAGGCUCUGAACAAUCCUUCUUUCGUAU